AGCAGCCGCGGUAAUUCCAGCUCCAAUAGCGUAUAUUAAAGUUGUUGCAGUUAAAAAGCUCGUAGUUGAAUUUCGGGGUUAGCAGGUCGGUCGUGCCAUCGGUAUGAACUGGUCUCGCUGAUCCCUCCCUCUUGACGAACUGUGAUGCCAUUAAUUUGGUGUCGCAGGGAAUCAGGACUGUUACUUUGAAAAAUUAGAGUGUUUAAAGCAGGCUCACGCUUGAAUACAUUAGCAUGGAAUAAUGAAAUAGGACGUUUGAUCCCAUUUUGUUGGUUUCUAGGAUUGACGUAAUGAUUAAUAGGGAUAGUUGGGGGCAUUAGUAUUCAAUUGUCAGAGGUGAAAUUCUUGGAUUUAUUGAAGACUAACUACUGCGAAAGCAUUUGCCAAGGAUGUUUUCAUUAAUCAAGAACGAAAGUUAGGGGAUCGAAGACGAUCAGAUACCGUCGUAGUCUUAACCAUAAACUAUGCCGACUAGGGAUCGGAUGAUGUUAAUUUUUAAUGACUCAUUC
Molecule: unclassified non-coding RNA, 509 nt
Filed under: uncultured Glomus
Lineage: Eukaryota; Fungi; Glomeromycota; Glomeromycetes; Glomerales; Glomeraceae
Description: SSU rRNA
Rfam family: Eukaryotic small subunit ribosomal RNA
Source: RNAcentral